This is a non-coding RNA of Schistosoma mattheei, 45 nucleotides long. NCBI's taxonomy places the organism in Eukaryota, Metazoa, Platyhelminthes, Trematoda, Strigeidida, Schistosomatidae. The record is from Rfam.
AUCCGGCUGAGGAGUCCCAAAUGGGAUGAAUUACGCGUCCUGGAU